This 96-nucleotide ribosomal RNA is filed under the name uncultured bacterium. RNAcentral describes it as "partial 16S ribosomal RNA". It matches the Rfam family "Bacterial small subunit ribosomal RNA", at positions 395 to 508 of the family's 1533-position model. The record is from RNAcentral.
CGCCGCGUGGGUGACGAAGGUCUUCGGAUUGUAAAGCCCUUUUCUGAGGGAAGAUGAUGACGGUACCUCAGGAAGAAGCACCGGCUAACUACGUGC